CAGUCGCCACGGGAAUACAAAGGGGGCUAGCGUUGCUCGGAAUUACUGGGCGUAAAGGGAGCGUAGGCGGACAUUUAAGUCAGGGGCGAAAUCCCAGAGCUCAACUCUGGAACUGCCUUUGAUACUGGGUGUCUUGAGUGUGAUAGAGGUAUGUGGAACUCCGAGUGUAGAGGUGAAAUUCGUAGAUAUUCGGAAGAACACCAGUGGCGAAGGCGACAUACUGGAUCAUUACUGACGCUGAGGCUCGAAAGCGUGGGGAGCAAACAGGAUUAGAUACCCCCGUAGUCCCUGUCUCUUAUAC
RNAcentral lists this ribosomal RNA (301 nucleotides) under uncultured bacterium. Its description in RNAcentral is "partial 16S ribosomal RNA". It matches the Rfam family "Bacterial small subunit ribosomal RNA", at positions 509 to 807 of the family's 1533-position model. The record is from RNAcentral.